UGGGGAAUAUUGCACAAUGGCGAAAGCCUGAUGCAGCGACGCCGCGUGAGGGAUGACGGCCUUCGGGUUGUAAACCUCUUUCAGUAGGGACGAAGCGCAAGUGACGGUACCUGCAGAAGAAGCACCGGCUAACUACGUGCCAGCAGCCGCAGUAAUACGUAGGGUGCGAGCGUUGUCCGGAAUUACUGGGCGUAAAGAGCUCGUAGGCGGUUUGUCACGUCGUCUGUGAAAUCCUAGGGCUUAACCCUGGACGUGCAGGCGAUACGGGCUGACUUGAGUACUACAGGGGAGACUGGAAUUUCUGGUGUAGCGGUGGAAUGCACAGAUAUCAGGAAGAACACCGAUGGCGAAGGCAGGUCUCUGGGUAGUAACUGACGCUGAGGAGCGAAAGCAUGGGUAGCGAACAGG
Molecule: ribosomal RNA, 408 nt
Filed under: bacterium
Lineage: Bacteria
Description: partial 16S ribosomal RNA
Rfam family: Bacterial small subunit ribosomal RNA
Source: RNAcentral